AAAAAUAUUUGCUUCUUAUUGAUUAGCUUUUUUUUUUUUUAACACAAAACAGAGAUGUUCACUGUGACCUCAAGUGGAUUCUUCUCCACCAAUCCAAAAUUUUAUCCCAGGAGACACCAGCAAUCAUUUGCAGGAGAUAUUGAUCAACCAGAGAAUGCACAUUUCUGAACCAGAUCCCUGGUGAGGUUGAUGGGACAGUAGCAGGAAGCUUGUUUUGUGGAUUUGGAAAUGAAAACCCAAGAGAGUCUGAGAAGCCCUAUGUGCCACAAGUCCUCUGUCUGCCCCCGGCCACUGCCAGCAUCACGAGGCCAGGUGAGCUUUGUUCUCUAUCGUAUUCAUGGGUUCUGCUACUACGCCUAAUGAAGAGGUGCCUCAUGAACCUUGAGUCAAAAUAAGCAGUGGAUGGAUAUCUUUGUU
This 417-nucleotide long non-coding RNA is filed under the name Sus scrofa (pig). RNAcentral's name for it is "lncRNA (ENSSSCG00025048185.1, ENSSSCG00065039799.1)". The record is from RNAcentral. Lineage: Eukaryota; Metazoa; Chordata; Mammalia; Artiodactyla; Suidae.